UACCAGCACCCCGAGUGGUCGGGGCGAUUAUUGGGCCUAAAGCAUCCGUAGCCGGUUCUUUAAGUCCUCCGUUAAAUCCACCUGCUUAACAGAUGGGCUGCGGAGGAUACUAUAGAGCUAGGAGGCGGGAGAGGCAAGCGGUACUCAGUGGGUAGGGGUAAAAUCCGUUGAUCCAUUGAAGACCACCAGUGGCGAAGGCGGCUUGCCAGAACGCGCUCGACGGUGAGGGAUGAAAGCUGGGGGAGCAAACCGG
Molecule: ribosomal RNA, 253 nt
Filed under: uncultured bacterium
Lineage: Bacteria
Description: partial 16S ribosomal RNA
Rfam family: Archaeal small subunit ribosomal RNA
Source: RNAcentral